This 107-nucleotide small nuclear RNA is filed under the name Dasypus novemcinctus (nine-banded armadillo). Lineage: Eukaryota; Metazoa; Chordata; Mammalia; Cingulata; Dasypodidae. The record is from RNAcentral.
GUACUUGCUUUGGCAGCACAUAUACUAAAAUCGGAAAAAUACAGAGAAGAUUAGCACAUCCCCUGCGCAAGGAUGACACACAAAUUCACGGAGCAUCCCAUAGUUUU